ACAUUAGAACCAAGGUGCUGAAGAGGCCUAGUCAAAGUCCAGACCUGACUGAAAUAAAUGAAGGUGCCAGAUACCUCGUAUAAUUAUUUCCCUCUGUUUACGUAAAACUAAAUAUACAAAGUCAAAUAAUACAAGUUUUAAAAUGAAUUUCUUUGAUGAAAAUGAAUUUUAAUGCUAAUUUUUUAAUGCUACAUUUAUGUAAUUAAUUUUGUCCCUUUUGGCCCUCCAUACAUCACUAUUCUGAAAAUCAUUUAAACUUGUCUCGAGACCCCCAGUGGUUCCCGCUCCGUACUUUGGGAACCUAAACCUGCCCCGAACCUCUUUGUCUCUGGACUGGCCCGGAACCAGCCGGUUCUGUCUGCUCAUCGAACUCUACAGGGAUUUCCUUAAAUUCUACUCAUUUUUCUCUGAACUUCGGACCGGACCGAACCGAGUCGGAACCGACAGGCUUUCCAGGAAGACAUGGCGCCUUCUGAAACCUGCAGGAGAAAUUCAGCUGAAAAGACUUCAAACCAACCGGCGGCUCGGUUUCCCUGAGCUCCUGGUUCUGGUACCGGCAGCUGGGUUCGGUUCGGGGUUAUCAACCUGCUUCUCUCCAAAGAGCCAUAAAAAAACCAUCAGACUUCCGGUUUGAAUUAAUCCACCUCUCUUGGAGCCGUUUCCUGUUUCGUACUCGUGGACGUUUACGGAGCAUCAUGGGAGUAAAAUCAUCAGAAAGUAUAAAUCUCACUUUUUUCAUCCCUAGAUUUGUUUCCUUUGCUCAUUGUUUUCAUUAAUGGUGGUUCUGAUGUCCGUUUGGACCAGUAGACGGAUAAAAAGUUACAAAAAAACUCCUGCAAUAUUAACAUUGAAUAUUUCCCAGCAUUAAAAUACA
Molecule: long non-coding RNA, 874 nt
Organism: Xiphophorus couchianus (Monterrey platyfish)
Lineage: Eukaryota; Metazoa; Chordata; Actinopteri; Cyprinodontiformes; Poeciliidae
Exons: 2
Source: RefSeq, a predicted model, not a curated record